GGGGAAUUUUGGACAAUGGGGGCAACCCUGAUCCAGCCAUGCCGCGUGAGUGAAGAAGGCCUUCGGGUUGUAAAGCUCUUUCGGACGGAAAGAAAUCACCGCCUCUAACAUAGGCGGUGGAUGACGGUACCGUAAGAAGAAGCACCGGCUAACUACGUGCCAGCAGCCGCGGUAAUACGUAGGGUGCGAGCGUUAAUCGGAAUUACUGGGCGUAAAGCGUGCGCAGGCGGUUUGGUAAGACAGGUGUGAAAUCCCCGGGCUUAACCUGGGAACUGGGCUUGGGGAUGCCAGGGUAGAGUAAGGCAGAGGGGGGUGGAAUUCCACGGGGAGCAGUGAAAAGCGGAGAGAUGGGGAGGAAAAACGAUGGCGAAGGCAGCCCCCUGGGCCUGUACUGACGCUCAUGCACGAAAGCGUGGGGAGCAAACA
RNAcentral lists this ribosomal RNA (426 nucleotides) under uncultured beta proteobacterium. RNAcentral's name for it is "bacterial SSU rRNA". It matches the Rfam family "Bacterial small subunit ribosomal RNA", at positions 356 to 774 of the family's 1533-position model. The record is from RNAcentral. Lineage: Bacteria; Pseudomonadati; Pseudomonadota; Betaproteobacteria.